CAGCAGCCACGGUAAUACGAAGGGGGCUAGCGUUGUUCGGAUUUACUGGGCGUAAAGGGCGCGUAGGCGGGCGAAUAAGUCAGGGGUGAAAUCCCAAGGCUCAACCUUGGAACUGCCUUUGAUACUGUUUGUCUUGAGUCCGGGAGAGGUGAGUGGAACUGCGAGUGUAGAGGUGAAAUUCGUAGAUAUUCGCAAGAACACCAGUGGCGAAGGCGGCUCACUGGCCCGGAACUGACGCUGAGGCACGAAAGCGUGGGGAGCAAACAGGAUUAGAUACCCCUGUAGUCCCUGUCUCUUAUAC
This 301-nucleotide ribosomal RNA is filed under the name uncultured bacterium. Its description in RNAcentral is "partial 16S ribosomal RNA". It matches the Rfam family "Bacterial small subunit ribosomal RNA", at positions 509 to 807 of the family's 1533-position model. The record is from RNAcentral.